Molecule: ribosomal RNA, 253 nt
Filed under: uncultured bacterium
Lineage: Bacteria
Description: partial 16S ribosomal RNA
Rfam family: Bacterial small subunit ribosomal RNA
Source: RNAcentral
UACAGAGGUCCCAAGCGUUGUUCGGAUUCAUUGGGCGUAAAGGGUUCGUAGGCGGUGUGGCAAGUCGGGAGUGAAAUCUCUGGGCUCAACCCAGAGACUGCUUCCGAAACUGCUGUGCUUGAGUGUGAGAGAGGCUCGUGGAAUUGCAGGUGUAGCGGUGAAAUGCGUAGAUAUCUGCAGGAACACCCGUGGCGAAAGCGGCGAGCUGGAUCACUACUGACGCUGAGGAACGAAAGCUAGGGGAGCAAACAGG